UACGGAGGGUGCAAGCGUUAUCCGGAUUCACUGGGUUUAAAGGGUGCGUAGGUGGUUAUGUAAGUCAGUGGUGAAAGCCCGCGGCUCAACCGUGGAAUUGCCUUUGAAACUGCGUAACUUGAGUAUAGUUGAAGUGGGCGGAAUACAUCAUGUAGCGGUGAAAUGCUUAGAUAUGAUGUAGAACACCGAUUGCGAAGGCAGCUCACUAAACUGUAACUGACACUGAGGCACGAAAGCGUGGGGAGCGAACAGG
RNAcentral lists this ribosomal RNA (253 nucleotides) under uncultured bacterium. Its description in RNAcentral is "partial 16S ribosomal RNA". It matches the Rfam family "Bacterial small subunit ribosomal RNA", at positions 524 to 776 of the family's 1533-position model. The record is from RNAcentral.